CGAAAUAAUUUCCGUAUGCAAGUGACCUUAGCGUGACCCUUCGCUUAAAAAUCCGGUUAACGCAAUUCGCAUGGAAAUGUCAUUUAAAUAAACUAUUAUCUGAAAGAACAUGUUAUACACGUGCUCAAUGUCCAUGUUUCUUUUGUUGUUGUUUACUAUAAGUUAACAAUUGGUUAACUACGGCUUCAAAACACGACAAUUAAGUAGCUGUCAUAUUUUUACCUAUGAUAACAGACAAAGAGAAAAACAUGACGAUUAUACGAUAUUUUUGCGAAAAAAACUGAUAAAAUCGUACACACAAGACUACGUUGACGUUUCAAAUAUAAAUAAAUUAUACCGCUGUUCAAAACUCAUAAAUCCAUGGACAAAAUACUAAAUCGAGGUAACAAACUAAAACCGAGGGAAACGCAUUAAAUAUAAGAGGAGAACAACGACACAACACCGAAACGCAACACACACAGAAACGGACCAAGCAUCAGACAAAAUCGCACGAGAAUAACAAAUAUAACAUCUAAACCAAAUACAUGAAUUCGGGAUAAACAAUUAUGACUUUAAUCCCUUAUAGGAGUUCUAGUGGGAAAUUGCAUUGUCUAUAUUUACAGAAUUGCAACCAUAAGUUAUAGUUUAUGUUUAUAAUAUCUAUAAAUAAACUAAUCAUAGAUUCCAGGAUUAAGUUUUGUAUUUACGCCAGAAACGCGAUCCGUCUACAAAAGACUUAUCAGUGACGCUCGAAUCAAAAAAGUUAAAAAGGCCAAAAAAAGGUACGAAGCUGAAGAGCAUAGAGGACCAAAACUAAAGGUUUGCCAAAAACAGCUAAAGUUGUCUAUUCCUGAGGUAGAGAAGCCUUAGUAUUUAAAAAAAUCAAAAGUUUUGUAAAUUAAACAUACCUAUUUAUUAAUCUGUGUAAAAUUGGAUUCAUCAGGGAGCUGCCAGAAACCAUACCAGAAGAUCGGGAAUGGCUGUUAUUCCAUCUACGACGACAACAUAUCUGGGGAUGAAGCAUUUGCAAGCUGUACAGACCCUGGUGCGUACCUGGCUAACUUUGAAACACUUGAAGAAGCAAUGUUCAUGAAAUUAUUCCUUCAGAGGAAUAAGACAGGUAUUUCCUACUUCGUUGGUGGACGUAACGUCAAUAGAUACCUUUCAAGUGGCGAUUGGAGAUGGAUUAAACAUGGCAACGCAACAAAGAUGACAUACUUUGCGUUUGCUCCGGGACAACCUUCUUGGUCAGCUGAAAAGGGGGAAGACUGCAUGUUCUUCUACGCUUAUGGCAAAUACCAGUUCUUUAAUGUGAUGUGUGACAAUGGACAUUUUCU
Molecule: long non-coding RNA, 1316 nt
Organism: Mytilus trossulus (common blue mussel)
Lineage: Eukaryota; Metazoa; Mollusca; Bivalvia; Mytilida; Mytilidae
Exons: 3
Source: RefSeq, a predicted model, not a curated record